AAAAACUCUGGUGGUAUACGAUGGUUCCGCGUCUGAUUAGCUAGUUGGUGGGGUAAUGGCCUACCAAGGCAACGAUCAGUAGCCGGCCUGAGAGGGUGAACGGCCACAUUGGGACUGAGACACGGCCCAAACUCCUACGGGAGGCAGCAGUGGGGAAUAUUGCACAAUGGGGGAAACCCUGAUGCAGCGACGCCGCGUGAGUGAAGAAGUAUUUCGGUAUGUAAAGCUCUAUCAGCAGGGAAGAAAAUGACGGUACCUGAUUAAGAAGCCCCGGCUAACUACGUGCCAGCAGCCGCGGUAAUACGUAGGGGGCAAGCGUUAUCCGGAUUUACUGGGUGUAAAGGGAGCGUAGACGGCAGCACAAGUCUGGAGUGAAAUGCCGGGGCUUAACCCCGGAACUGCUUUGGAAACUGUGCAGCUAGAGUGCAGGAGAGGUAAGUGGAAUUCCUAGUGUAGCGGUGAAAUGCGUAGAUAUUAGGAGGAACACCAGUGGCGAAGGCGGCUUACUGGACUGUAACUGACGUUGAGGCUCGAAAGCGUGGGGAGCAAACAGGAUUAGAUACCCUGGUAGUCCACGCUGU
This 581-nucleotide ribosomal RNA is filed under the name uncultured bacterium. RNAcentral describes it as "bacterial SSU rRNA". It matches the Rfam family "Bacterial small subunit ribosomal RNA", at positions 202 to 803 of the family's 1533-position model. The record is from RNAcentral.